CGAGCUCGUUGAUGGAGAGCGCACCAUAAACUCAUGGACAUCUUUAGGGAGUCCACGCAGGUACUCCAUCAUCCCGAGGUAUCAGGGCAUCCCAACCGCGGUUAGGAAAGAAGAAUAAACCUGAUGCCAUGAUAUAAUCAAGAAAAUUGGUGAGCUCGGAAUAAGUUCGCAAACCAUCAGUUUAUCGUGAAAUGAAAUUCAUAGAGUGAAAUUCAUAGAAUGAAAUUUAAUGGUUGAAUAAUGAGGGACCCCUUAGGGUUCUACUGGUGGUACACGCGGAGAUUUUCAGAGCUCCAGCUCCGCGGAAUGGGAGCCCCAUCUAGAGACUCCAAUUGAUAAGCUCCGGGUCGGCGAAUGCGCGUGACUCGGUAUGGUCCCUCCCAAUUCGGGGCCAGCUUCCCUCGCUCAGUUGGUCGGAAGGUUUCAG
RNAcentral lists this long non-coding RNA (427 nucleotides) under Phoenix dactylifera (date palm). Its description in RNAcentral is "long non-coding RNA (PDAC_LNC004379)". Lineage: Eukaryota; Viridiplantae; Streptophyta; Magnoliopsida; Arecales; Arecaceae. The record is from RNAcentral.